AUCAGAGGAACAUAGGCAUGGAACUGCAGACCCUGGAAUGAGCCGCAUCAGGAAUGACAGUAAUGGUGCAGCAUGAAUUGAAGUGGCAGGCAAAAAACUCAGGUUCCCUAGAGGAAGCUAGCCAUGUGUGAGUGGUAUUCUUCUCCUCUAAGAAAAGUAUUUUUCAAAGUCUCCUUUGAGUUAUCUUCUGGUGGCUCUGGGAUGCUGUGUUGUAUUAUGGGGAUGGAGAAUUCAAGGAGCAAAAUAAUCAUCUUAAGUUCUUAUGAAGAAG
RNAcentral lists this long non-coding RNA (271 nucleotides) under Cricetulus griseus (Chinese hamster). RNAcentral describes it as "lncRNA (ENSCGRG00015038814.1)". The record is from RNAcentral. Lineage: Eukaryota; Metazoa; Chordata; Mammalia; Rodentia; Cricetidae.